Molecule: ribosomal RNA, 612 nt
Filed under: uncultured bacterium
Lineage: Bacteria
Description: bacterial SSU rRNA
Rfam family: Bacterial small subunit ribosomal RNA (bases 1-519)
Source: RNAcentral
CCUACGGGAGGCAGCAGUGGGGAAUAUUGGACAAUGGGCGAAAGCCUGAUCCAGCAAUGCCGCGUGAGUGAUGAAGGCCUUAGGGUCGUAAAGCUCUUUUACCCGGGAUGAUAAUGACAGUACCGGGAGAAUAAGCUCCGGCUAACUCCGUGCCAGCAGCCGCGGUAAUACGGAGGGAGCUAGCGUUGUUCGGAAUUACUGGGCGUAAAGCGUACGUAGGCGGUUAUUCAAGUCAGAGGUGAAAGCCCGGGGCUCAACCCCGGAACUGCCUUUGAAACUAGAUAGCUAGAAUCUUGGAGAGGUCAGUGGAAUUCCGAGUGUAGAGGUGAAAUUCGUAGAUAUUCGGAAGAACACCAGUGGCGAAGGCGACUGACUGGACAAGUAUUGACGCUGAGGUACGAAAGCGUGGGGAGCAAACAGGAUUAGAUACCCUGGUAGUCCACGCCGUAAACGAUGAUAACUAGCUGUCCGGGCACUUGGUGCCUGGGUGGCGCGAGCUACGACAUUAAGUUAUCCGUCCGUCGGGUAGGUACGGUCGCGAAGAAUUAAAACUAACGAAAGAAGUUAGACGGACGUGAGACGUGCCGAACGGACGACGACGAGGGAGGUAGG